GCAAAAUCUCUAAUAUGGUUGAUGAUCUUAUAUAUCGAGGUAUUUAUGUUGGCAAAAAGGAAAAUGGUGGCCUGCGUGAUUUCAAGAUUUAGUUGAAUGCCUCAAGGCACUCAAAGAAUGCAGAAGAAGAAGAUCUCUAGGAGUUAUCAACUUAUUUCCUUCGGCUAUACAGGUAUAUAGUAUCACUGUUUUUUGUGUUUAUCUUUGUGCAG
Molecule: unclassified non-coding RNA, 212 nt
Filed under: Hevea brasiliensis (rubber tree)
Lineage: Eukaryota; Viridiplantae; Streptophyta; Magnoliopsida; Malpighiales; Euphorbiaceae
Source: RNAcentral